AACGGCCGCGGUAUCCUAACCGUGCAAAGGUAGCAUAAUCACUUGCCUAUUAAUUGUAGGCUAGAAUGAAUGGGUUAACGAAAUAAAGACUGUCUCAAUUAAUCAUCUAAAAAUUACUAUCUAUCUGAAGAAGGGUAGAUAAUCUCGAAGGACAAGAAGACCCUAUAGAGCUUAAUUUUAAUUAUAGAGCUACACUAUAAAAAUAUUCGGUUGGGGCGACCCAGGGCUAAUCAAUCACCCACUACAUAAAAGAUAUAUUAAUCAAGUAAUUGACCCCCAAAAGAUCAUAAGAACAAGCUACCUUAGGGAUAACAGGCUAAUCCCACUCAAGAGUCCUUAUCAACAGUGGGGUUUGGCACCUCGAUGUUGGCUUAGG
Molecule: ribosomal RNA, 376 nt
Filed under: Metaphire sieboldi (earthworm)
Lineage: Eukaryota; Metazoa; Annelida; Clitellata; Crassiclitellata; Megascolecidae
Description: partial 16S ribosomal RNA
Rfam family: Bacterial large subunit ribosomal RNA
Source: RNAcentral